GAUGGCGGAAGAGCAUGGAAGUUUCUUGUGUGUCUCGCGUCCGUGAAAGACGGCCAGACCGACGCUAAACCAUCCUACACACCUAGAAAACCGAUGUGAGGAUGAACACAACAAUCUGCACAACCUCAACCACAGAACUCAGCAGGAUAACCAUGUUCUUGUCACCCAAGGCCAAAUUCCCAGCUGAAGGUACAGAGGCUCCAGAGGAAACAGAUGUGAAGUGAAGUGCAAUACAACAUUUUCAAGCUCGGUAAAUUUGCUGGAGGGGCAAAUGUCUGAAUUCCUUCCACCAUUUCUCUAGGCUGAGUUUCCGGAUCCAUCACCAGCCUCCUGUAUCUCAUCUGGGUAUGAGCCACAUCACUGAGGAACUGUCCCAGUUCCCUGGACUGUCUCAACACUGUCCCAACACUCUCUGGAGAUGAAGGAUGUCUGCUUCUUCAAGGACCCACAUCAGGGAGACAGCCGCUCGCUGGCGGGUGGGACAGCUUCAACCCACUCUUAAUGACCACGUUCCUACUGUCAACCCAAAUGCUAACAUUUUUUUUAAAAUGUUUAUUUAUUUAU
Long non-coding RNA from Prionailurus viverrinus (fishing cat), 564 nucleotides. RefSeq lists it as uncharacterized. The transcript has 3 exons. The record is from RefSeq and is a predicted model, not a curated record. Lineage: Eukaryota; Metazoa; Chordata; Mammalia; Carnivora; Felidae.